UCCAUAUGGAAGCUCCCGGUCCCCUGUGGAAGCUCCUGGUCCCUAUGGAAGCUCUCAGUCCCAUAUGGAAGCUCCUGGUCCCUAUGGAAGCUCCUGGUCCCCUAUGAAAGCUUUUGGUCCAUAUGGAAGCUCCCGGUCCCCUGUGGAAGCUCCUGGUCCCUAUGGAAGCUCUCAGUCCCAUAUGGAAGCUCCUGGUCCCUAUGGAAGCUCCAGGUCCCCUAUGAAAGCUUUUGGUCUAUAUGGAAGGUUCUGGUCCCCUAUGGAAGGUCCUGGUCCCUAUGGAAGCUCCUGGUCCUCUAUGAAAGCUUUUGGUCCCUAUGGAAGGUCCUGGUCCCCUAUGGAAGCUCUCAGUCCCAUAUGGAAGCUCCAGGUCCCCUAUGAAAGCUUUUGGUCCAUGUGGAAGGUCCCGGUUCCUAUGGAAGCUCCAGGUCCCUAUGGAAGGUCCUGGUCCCUAUGGAAGCUCUCAGUCCCAUAUGGAAGCUCUCAGUCCCAUAUGGAAGCUCCUGGUCCCUAUGGAAGCUCCAGGUCCCCCUAUGAAAGCUUUCGGUCCAUAUGGAAGGUCCCGGUUCCUAUGGAAGCUCCUGGUCCCUAUGGAAGCUCUCAGUCCCAUAUGGAAGCUCCUGGUCCCUAUGGAAGCUCCUGGUCCCCUAUGAAAGCUUUUGGUCCAUAUGGAAGCUCCCGGUCCCCUGUGGAAGGUCCUGGUCCCUACGGAAGCUCUCAGUCCCAUAUGGAAGCUCCAGGUCCCUAUGGAAGCUCCAGGUCCCCUAUGAAAGCUUUUGGUCCAUGUGGAAGCUCCU
This is a long non-coding RNA of Cuculus canorus (common cuckoo), 797 nucleotides long. RefSeq lists it as uncharacterized. The record is from RefSeq and is a predicted model, not a curated record. NCBI's taxonomy places the organism in Eukaryota, Metazoa, Chordata, Aves, Cuculiformes, Cuculidae. The transcript is spliced from 3 exons.